This 254-nucleotide ribosomal RNA is filed under the name uncultured bacterium. RNAcentral's name for it is "partial 16S ribosomal RNA". It matches the Rfam family "Bacterial small subunit ribosomal RNA", at positions 524 to 776 of the family's 1533-position model. The record is from RNAcentral.
UACGGGGGGAGCAAGCGUUGUUCGGAUUUACUGGGCGUAAAGGGCGCGUAGGCGGCCACCGCAAGUCGGUUGUGAAAUCUCUGGGCUUAACCCAGAAAGGUCAACCGAUACUGCGGGGCUAGAGUGCAGAAGGGGCAACUGGAAUUCUCGGUGUAGCGGUGAAAUGCGUAGAUAUCUGGAGGAAUACCGGUGGCGAAGGCGGCAUCCUGGACCGACAUUGACGCUGAUGAGCGAAAGCUAGGGGAGCAAACGGG